RNAcentral lists this ribosomal RNA (539 nucleotides) under uncultured bacterium. Its description in RNAcentral is "partial 16S ribosomal RNA". It matches the Rfam family "Bacterial small subunit ribosomal RNA", at positions 355 to 909 of the family's 1533-position model. The record is from RNAcentral.
UGGGGAAUAUUGGACAAUGGGCGCAAGCCUGAUCCAGCCAUGCCGCGUGAGUGAUGAAGGCCCUAGGGUUGUAAAGCUCUUUCGCCAGGGACGAUAAUGACGGUACCUGGAUAAGAAGCCCCGGCUAACUUCGUGCCAGCAGCCGCGGUAAUACGAAGGGGGCUAGCGUUGUUCGGAAUCACUGGGCGUAAAGCGCACGUAGGCGGAUCUUUAAGUCAGGGGUGAAAUCCCGAGGCUCAACCUCGGAACUGCCUUUGAUACUGGAGGUCUCGAGUCCGGGAGAGGUGAGUGGAACUGCGAGUGUAGAGGUGAAAUUCGUAGAUAUUCGCAAGAACACCAGUGGCGAAGGCGGCUCACUGGCCCGGUACUGACGCUGAGGUGCGAAAAGCGUGGGGAGCAAAACAGGAUUAGAUACCCUGGUAGUCCACGCCGUAAACUAUGGAUGCUAGCCGUUGGGCAGCUUGCUGUUCAGUGGCGCAGCUAACGCUUUAAGCAUCCCGCCUGGGGGAGUACGGUCGCAAGAUUAAAACUCAAAUGAA